This 275-nucleotide unclassified non-coding RNA is filed under the name Hevea brasiliensis (rubber tree). The record is from RNAcentral. Lineage: Eukaryota; Viridiplantae; Streptophyta; Magnoliopsida; Malpighiales; Euphorbiaceae.
AAUACAUGUUUUAGUUAUGUCAAGUGCACGAGGCAUACAUUGUCCACCUGCAUAAGCCCUUUCAAGUCUUAAAACAUUGUCCUAACCCACAACCAACAGACAUUGCAAUGAAAACAUAAUAUGGGGACUUGCAAAACGAACUAGAGAAAUCCUGCAUUCCACAAAAGGAAAUUUACAAUUUGGUCUCUGAGUUUUACCCUAUAUUAAACCUAGUCCUUAGAUUUUCAGAAAUUAAUUAUUUAACUCCUGAGUUUUGCAUUAUAUUAUACUUUAAU